GGUAGCAGGAGAAGCUUGCUUUCUUGCUGACGAGUGGCGGACGGGUGAGUAAUGCUUGGGAAUCUGGCUUAUGGAGGGGGAUAACGACGGGAAACUGUCGCUAAUACCGCGUAUUAUCGGAAGAUGAAAGUGCGGGACUGUAAAGCCGCAUGCCAUGAGAUGAGCCCAAGUGGGAUUAGGUAGUUGGUGGGGUAAAGGCCUACCAAGCCUGCGAUCUCUAGCUGGUCUGAGAGGAUGACCAGCCACACUGGAACUGAGACACGGUCCAGACUCCUACGGGAGGCAGCAGUGGGGAAUAUUGCGCAAUGGGGGCAACCCUGACGCAGCCAUGCCGCGUGAAUGAAGAAGGCCUUCGGGUUGUAAAGUUCUUUCGGUAUUGAGGAAGGUUGAUGUGUUAAUAGUACAUCAAAUUGACGUUAAAUACAGAAGAAGCACCGGCUAACUCCGUGCCAGCAGCCGCGGUAAUACGGAGGGUGCGAGCGUUAAUCGGAAUAACUGGGCGUAAAGGGCACGCAGGCGGUUAUUUAAGUGAGGUGUGAAAGCCCCGGGCUUAACCUGGGAAUUGCAUUUCAGACUGGGUAACUAGAGUACUUUAGGGAGGGGUAGAAUUCCACGUGUAGCGGUGAAAUGCGUAGAGAUGUGGAGGAAUACCGAAGGCGAAGGCAGCCCCUUGGGAAUGUACUGACGCUCAUGUGCGAAAGCGUGGGGAGCAAACAGGAUUAGAUACCCUGGUAGUCCA
Molecule: ribosomal RNA, 739 nt
Filed under: Haemophilus influenzae
Lineage: Bacteria; Pseudomonadati; Pseudomonadota; Gammaproteobacteria; Pasteurellales; Pasteurellaceae
Description: bacterial SSU rRNA
Rfam family: Bacterial small subunit ribosomal RNA
Source: RNAcentral